UUCGGAUCGCAGGCUGAAACCCGACCUGCGUGAAGUUGGAAUCGCUAGUAAUCGCGGAUCAGAAUGCCGCGGUGAAUACGUUCCCGGGUCUUGUACACACCGCCCGUCACACCAUGGGAGUCGGAAAUGCCCGAAGUCUGUGACCCAACCUUAGGGAGGGAGCAGCCGAAGGCAGGUCGGAUGACUGGGGUGAAGUCGUAACAAGGUACC
This 210-nucleotide ribosomal RNA is filed under the name uncultured bacterium. Its description in RNAcentral is "partial 16S ribosomal RNA". It matches the Rfam family "Bacterial small subunit ribosomal RNA", at positions 1292 to 1500 of the family's 1533-position model. The record is from RNAcentral.